UCUACUCAAUUAUCGGUAAUCCACCGGACGGAAGACAGCAAUUAACCCAUCACAGAUGGUGUUUAAGUGAAGCGAUGAAAAAUCAAUUCCCACACACGUGCUGCAUACAGACUGCUGAUUAAAAAAGCCCUUUCCGUUCCCUCACCCGCUUGUCCCUUUUCCACCCACUCGCUCUUUCUCUCUUGCACACUCACACACAAGUGGCCGUACGAAUGGCAGGCGGCACUCUCUACUUACGAAAACCUAUCAAUCAUCUACUUCCCCCGUGGUCCCAGUGGAUGCAAGCGGUGUAAGUGAAACGUGAAACGUCCCACUGGGGGGAACAAAAUCCAAUCCACCAGGUCCACCCAGUGAGCCCAGUAUUGGUGAAGGGGACUGAGCCGUUUCUGCGAAAAACCAUGCUAGACAUUCCCAACGGGACCACUUCCACCGCCGCAUCCCACUACCCCGGUGUGAUGAGUUUCCUUAACGCCGCCGGUGCAACCUUUCUCGAUGGCCUCAGCGGCACAGCGGUCAACAGUGGUGGAGCGUUGCUGCCCGCGGGAAAUUUUUUACCCACCCUCGGCGGAAGCGUGUCGCCACUGGUCAACUACUCGUCGGUGGUUAGUUCCUCGCCGUCACCGGCCACCAUGCUGUCGAGCGGGCCGGCAAACGGAUCGAUGGCACCGCUGCUUACGACGGCCCUGCUGAACGUGAACGGUACGGGGCUGGAGUACGGCGACACGGGCAGCAAUCUGACCCACUCGUUUACCAACUUCGUGCACAAGGAGUUUAUCUUUGACCGGACGGAUGUGCGAGUAAUAUUCAUCACGCUCUACUCGCUGGUGUUUUGCUGCUGUUUCUUCGGAAACCUGCUCGUAAUUCUCGUGGUGACACUCUCGAGAAGGUUGCGCUCGAUAACCAACUUCUUCCUCGCGAACCUGGCCGUAGCUGACCUGUGCGUGGGGGUGUUUUGCGUGAUGCAGAACCUCACCAUCUACCUGAUCGAAAGCUGGGUGUUUGGAGACUUCCUGUGCAAGAUGUACCAGUUUGUGCAUUCGCUCAGCUACACCGCCUCGAUAUUCAUCCUGGUCGUCAUCUGCAUGGAGCGCUACUUCGCCAUCAUCCAUCCGAUCACGUGCAAGCAGAUCCUCACCUCGCGCCGCCUAAGGCUCGUGAUCGUUGCCGUUUGGAUAACGUCCGCCGUCUACUCCAUCCCGAAGUUCAUCUUCGUGCGCACCAUCACGAACAACCUGGGCGACGACCAGCUGGAAACGAUCUGCAUCGUCAACCGGAAAAUGUUCAACUCCGAGCUGUUCGACAUUAUCAACUUUGCCCUGCUGUACCUGCUUCCGCUGCUGGUUAUGACGGUCCUGUACAGCCGAAUAGCGAUAGCGCUGUGGAAAAGCUCACGGGGGCUGGAGCGGCACAUUGCGCUGCAAAAUACGACCUCGUCAAGCUACUCGAGCAAUUUCCACCGGAAGCCGAGCAGCAAGUAUGACAAGCGAACCACAGGUGUCACCGAAAGCCAGGUGUCGGUGGAGUCGGACAAGGUGGUAGUGACAACGUGGCCGGCACAGAACAGCUUCCACCAACGGCACGGCACCCAGCUAACGCAGGUGUCCCACUCGUCCAACAACGUGCUACGGGCGCGCCGUGGCGUUAUUCGCAUGCUGAUGGUGGUGGUGCUAACGUUUGCCCUCUGCAACCUACCGUUUCAUGCCCGAAAGAUGUGGCAAUAUUGGUCCACCGACUACAAGGGUGAUUCCAACUUCAACGCACUCUUCACACCGCUCACCUUCCUGGUGACGUACUUCAACUCCGGCGUCAACCCGCUGCUGUACGCCUUCCUGAGCCGCAACUUUCGCAAAGGCAUGCGCGAGCUGUUGCUGUGUUCCUUCAAGAAGAACAAAAACAAAUCGCUCAACCAGCGUAUCCCGCUGCACCGACCACGAUCCGUCCUAGUGCUGCUGCGACAUGCCAUGCUAUGCUGGGCCACGGACAAACCGACCGUCUCCCUGGCGACGCAUUGCCCUUCGCCGACUACCCGCUCGCUCGAUGGCGUCGACGAGCGGAUGCUGUGAUGGGAGCACCGGUCCAAGAUGGGAUGAGUCGGCGAAACUGAAUGUGUCGGGCCACAGCCAGGACGCGGCUGGAGUAGGAACGCUCUGACUCGGUUCGGUUGGUUCGUUGUCUUGCUCGCAUAGAGGCAUCACGCUCGAAGGUGGCUCGAACCGCUUGGUUAGGGUGUCUGAUGCCGUGCUAAACCCAUGAAAGAGACCGAGCUAAAAACAGAACGGAACCAUUCCUUACCGACCGAUUCGACCCAUGUAGGAUUUCCCCAAUGAUGCCACGACCUGAUCGACCGCGGGUGCUGCAGUCGGUGCGUCGGCAGCGGCCGGGACAGGGGUAAGGUCAGCCGCGUCCGCCGCCGCCGAGAGCACCGCUAACGCACCCGGCACCACUGGCACCCGGUCGCGGGUGCACCGCUUCCGUCAGCAUACGCUCUUCCGGCGCAACGAGCUGCUGUUUCGCCGCACGAACGAGCUGGUAAGCAAUGGGGACGAGGACGACGACGAGGACGACGAGGACGAUCUGAACGAGCCGGCCACGACGCUGUCCACCGCAACGAUGGCUCCACCGCUGACGGUAAGCGUCAUCGAGCUGGGCAGUGGACGGUAAAGCGGUUUGUAUCAUCGCGACGUCCACGACUGUGUUACAAACAGUAUUCUGUUUUAUUUCACAUCGACAUCGAAAGGAAGCGUUGCUCAAGCGUGGCGCACAACGAAAGCUUAACAAUUAAAGCGAUCCCAGAGUCAGAUGAAUGUCAAUCAAUAGAGCAAGCGUUUGAGUGCAAGGCAGAAGGCAACCAGGCCAGGUUCAAUUUCACACCACAACGAAACGUAUGCCAAUUUGUACAGCGUACCCGCGUCCAAAAGUUGUUUUUCCUCCCCAAGCCGAUUGGUGUGUGAGUGUGUGUGUGUGUGCGAGCGUGAUUGGUUCCGAAUGGAAACUUUUGGCCCAAUUACGCCCAUGAUGACUGCUACUACAUUCGCUUAUUUCCAUCCUUAUUUGCACUGUCUUCCUGCUACUCGUGUCGUGGAAAGGGAGUGCCUGUGUACUAGUGUGAGACAAAAAAUGAUGCCAAAAUUGCAGACGAAAGAAAUAGAGCGAAGAGAGCAUUAAGUAGCUCCCCCUGAUACUGGAAAGCUGUUAGCACUGACAAUAGAAAGUUUCGCUCAAUAGCAAUGAUGUACUACCGUUUCUUUCCGGCUGCUAGUGAGAUUUGCGCCGAAUGCUGAAUGUUUAUUUUCCCCCACCAUUUUUACCAAAGAACGUAUAGGGUUGAGCGAGUCACCAUUUCAAUACUACCACAGUAGAUCUUCAUAGCAGCGCAGAAUAGUGGUAAACAUAGCCCCGUGGCGGCAGAAUGAAAUGCAGACAGAGAAACCAAUUAGGAAUCACGUACGGAACGUACAGAGCAAUGUGUUGAGAGCAGACUAUUAGGUUCGCUUUUUUUUAGAUCAAUGAACUAUUUUCUGCUGGGGUUUGAAUAUUUGACUUGUAAAACUCUUUGUACGCUUUAGCAGUAGCGACUUUGGAAUUGAAUGUUUGUGGAGCUGCUUAGUUAGGACGAGGAAUUAAAAAUUUGAAAGUAAAUAUUUUGAGCCUAAAUUUGGGAGCUAUGUUUGAGUACAACUUGUAACUUAUUUUUAGAUAAUUUUUAAUUUUUAAUCAAGCACAUAAAUUACAAAAGAUUAUAAUGUGUUGAAUUGUUAUAUUUGACUUUUACAAGUCUUUAUUUUUGAUACAGAAGUUUCAGUUUUGAAAAUAAGUUCCACCAUUUUAAGAUCGUUCAUGGUAAUUGUAAUUAGCAACGCAACUGUAAUAACAGUGCAAAAAAGCAACUGUAAUUACAAACACUUAUUUCCUUUAAGUUUAUGUUACUUUGCCAUUAGAAGGAUCGGGAAGGUCAAACUUUUUGAUUCAACAUUUUGUAGUUUUUAAUUAAACUGUGCUGAAAACAUCACACGGUUUAGUACAAUCAUUUUAAUUACAGACAAUAAAGAAAGCGGAUAUGAUAACUAUUUACUUACACGAUUUUUAAAUAACUUCCUAAUUUUCAGCUUCCUUUUGCUAAUGUUUGAUUAAGCAAACAUUUUAGUAAUCACAGAAACUAAAUGUGCUACGCUCUAUGUGUAUUUCAUUUGCACUCAAAUUAUUUCAAAUAACGAUACUGUGAUAAAGCACUGAACAAACGAUGGACGAAAGUGGCGCGGGAAUGGAACGAUGCUCAUGUGUAAAUGUAUGUGCAAACUACUUGGCGGCGCUGGCGAAACGGUUAAGCGAUGAAUCAAUUACAGUUCGUUUUCGUAUUUCGAUACGAAUUUGAAUUCCGAUUUUGCGAGAGAGAGAAGCAAACAGCGUGCACUGUAAGCUGUAGAAAUACUGUACAUCAAAGCAUAUUUUAAUCCAAGCAUCAUCCGCAUACGUAUUAGGGCGUACUUAAACAAAGGCCCAGCCACGGUACUAGAGAGCCGGCGGAUGGAAGUUUGCCAAACAGGUCGAAUUGUUGAACAAUGAACUCUUCUAACGGAAAUGUUGUCGCUGAAGAUAAAGGUUAUAUUUAAAAAAAAGAAGUAUAUUUUUUCACACAUUAACCAUUACACCAGAGUUUGCUAAUGCGUUAGAUGAGAUAAGUAGAUGAACGGGGAGAAAAGCGGGGAAAAACAUCGAUUGUUUAAGAAAAUGUUCCGAGUCCUUAAGGAAAAAGGCGAGAAAGUGUGUGGUGGGGACGAAAGAUUUUACGAGAGAUAGAACAAUUCGAAUUUUAAUUGUAGUUUCUACGAUUGGAGGUGAGGCGCGAGUGAGGCUCAAUGCAAAAUCAAAACCAGAAAGAAUUUAUUGUACGCCCCAGGAAUAAGAUUAAUAAAAUUAUAGUGCU
Anopheles merus is the source of this 4924-nucleotide RNA transcript. It is a transcript of the gene named trissin receptor, with no coding region annotated. NCBI's taxonomy places the organism in Eukaryota, Metazoa, Arthropoda, Insecta, Diptera, Culicidae. The record is from RefSeq and is a predicted model, not a curated record. The transcript is spliced from 9 exons.